RNAcentral lists this ribosomal RNA (765 nucleotides) under uncultured Streptococcus sp. RNAcentral's name for it is "bacterial SSU rRNA". It matches the Rfam family "Bacterial small subunit ribosomal RNA", at positions 28 to 776 of the family's 1533-position model. Lineage: Bacteria; Bacillati; Bacillota; Bacilli; Lactobacillales; Streptococcaceae. The record is from RNAcentral.
GACGAACGCUGGCGGCGUGCCUAAUACAUGCAAGUAGAACGCUGAAGAGAGGAGCUUGCUCUUCUUGGAUGAGUUGCGAACGGGUGAGUAACGCGUAGGUAACCUGCCUUGUAGCGGGGGAUAACUAUUGGAAACGAUAGCUAAUACCGCAUAACAAUGGAUGACCCAUGUCAUUUAUUUGAAAGGGGCAAAUGCUCCACUACAAGAUGGACCUGCGUUGUAUUAGCUAGUAGGUGAGGUAACGGCUCACCUAGGCGACGAUACAUAGCCGACCUGAGAGGGUGAUCGGCCACACUGGGACUGAGACACGGCCCAGACUCCUACGGGAGGCAGCAGUAGGGAAUCUUCGGCAAUGGGGGCAACCCUGACCGAGCAACGCCGCGUGAGUGAAGAAGGUUUUCGGAUCGUAAAGCUCUGUUGUAAGUCAAGAACGAGUGUGAGAGUGGAAAGUUCACACUGUGACGGUAGCUUACCAGAAAGGGACGGCUAACUACGUGCCAGCAGCCGCGGUAAUACGUAGGUCCCGAGCGUUGUCCGGAUUUAUUGGGCGUAAAGCGAGCGCAGGCGGUUUGAUAAGUCUGAAGUUAAGGGCUGUGGCUCAACCAUAGUUCGCUUUGGAAACUGUCAAACUUGAGUGCAGAAGGGGAGAGUGGAAUUCCAUGUGUAGCGGUGAAAUGCGUAGAUAUAUGGAGGAACACCGGUGGCGAAAGCGGCUCUCUGGUCUGUAACUGACGCUGAGGCUCGAAAGCGUGGGGAGCGAACAGG